This 477-nucleotide long non-coding RNA is filed under the name Panax ginseng (ginseng). Its description in RNAcentral is "long non-coding RNA (PGIN_LNC017177)". Lineage: Eukaryota; Viridiplantae; Streptophyta; Magnoliopsida; Apiales; Araliaceae. The record is from RNAcentral.
AGGGACGAGAAUUACUAAUUUGUUGGAAUUGGGCCUCUUAGAGCCUUCACUUUCUUAAAGCAUUUGUUGAGUGCAGUACAAUGGAGAGUUGUAUGCUUUAUCAGGGAUAUUUAGUUUUAUUUUGGCAGCAUGACCAUGUAGUAUGCAAAGGACUGUGAAUCCUUACAUUUUACAUUUUAACUCUCCCUUCUCUGUAAAACAAUUACCUCUAAUAUUCUUGGUAUUCGUAAUAGUAAUACACAAAUAUCUAAAAUGGAAAAACAAUUACAUCAUUGAUGGUACAUAUUUAUCCAAGGCAAUAUUGGCCUACAUAAAUUAGAAUCGCCAAGAUGGAGUUCGAAUGUGUCACCCUCCUGAUGCCUUUGCGGAAAGACUCUGGCUUGCUGACAGCUCUCAAUCUCAUCAAUAUUUUGUGUAUUACUAGAGGAUUGAACGUCUUUAGGAAAGUUUAGAAUUGUAACUAUGUGCAUAUCUUCA